This 278-nucleotide ribosomal RNA is filed under the name uncultured eukaryote. RNAcentral describes it as "partial 18S ribosomal RNA". It matches the Rfam family "Eukaryotic small subunit ribosomal RNA", at positions 21 to 302 of the family's 1831-position model. The record is from RNAcentral.
UAGUCAUAUGCUUGUCUCAAAGAUUAAGCCAUGCAUGUCUAAGUAUAAGCAAUCUAUACUGUGAAACUGCGAAUGGCUCAUUAAAUCAGUUAUCGUUUAUUUGAUAGUACCUUACUACUUGGAUACCCGUGGUAAUUCUAGAGCUAAUACAUGCUGAAAACCCCGACUUCGGAAGGGGUGUAUUUAUUAGAUAAAAAACCAAUGCCCUUCGGGGCUCCUUGGUGAUUCAUGAUAACUUCUCGAAUCGCAUGGCCUUGCGCCGGCGAUGGUUCAUUCAA